This 378-nucleotide unclassified non-coding RNA is filed under the name plant metagenome. RNAcentral describes it as "partial contains 5.8S ribosomal RNA, internal transcribed spacer 2, and large subunit ribosomal RNA". The stretch from base 1 to 105 matches the Rfam family "5.8S ribosomal RNA", at positions 50 to 154 of the family's 154-position model. The record is from RNAcentral.
GAAAUGCGAUAAGUAAUGUGAAUUGCAGAAUUCAGUGAAUCAUCGAAUCUUUGAACGCACCUUGCGCUCCUUGGUAUUCCUUGGAGCAUGCCUGUUUGAGUAUCAUGAAAUCUUCAAAGUAAAUCUUUUGUUAACUCAAUUGGUUUCUACUUUGGUAUUGGAGGUCUAUGCAGCUUCACACCUGCUCCUCUUUGUUCAUUAGCUGGAUCUCAGUGUUAUGCUUGGUUCCACUCGGCGUGAUAAGUUAUCUAUCGCUGAGGACACUGUAAAAGGUGGCCAAGGUAAAUGCAGAUGAACCGCUUCUAAUAGUCCAUUGACUUGGACAAUACUUUUAUGAUCUGAUCUCAAAUCAGGUAGGACUACCCGCUGAACUUAAGC